CCUACGUGUGGCAGCAGUGGGGAAUAUUGCGCAAUGGGCGAAAGCCUGACGCAGCGACGCCGCGUGAGGGCUGAAGGUCUUCGGAUCGUAAACCUCUGUCAGCAGGGAAGAACGGUCACUGUGCUAAUCAGCAGUGAAUUGCCGGUACCUGCAACGGAAGCACCGGCUAACCCCGUGCCCGCCGCCGCGGUAAUACGGAGGGUGCGAGCGUUAAUCGGAAUUACUGGGCGUAAAGCGCUCGUAGGCGGUAUGUCAAGUCACGGGUGAAAUCCCCGCGCUCAACGUGGGAACUGCCUUUGAAACUGGCAAACUGGAGUGUGUGAGAGGAUAGAGGAAUUCCAGGUGUAGGAGUGAAAUCCGGAGAUAUCUGGAGGAACAUCAGUGGCGAAGGCGACUAUCUGGCACAUAACUGACGCUGAGGAGCGAAAGCGUGGGUAGCAAACAGGAUUAGAUACCCCAGUAGUC
This 465-nucleotide ribosomal RNA is filed under the name uncultured bacterium. Its description in RNAcentral is "partial 16S ribosomal RNA". It matches the Rfam family "Bacterial small subunit ribosomal RNA", at positions 338 to 795 of the family's 1533-position model. The record is from RNAcentral.